This 460-nucleotide ribosomal RNA is filed under the name uncultured bacterium. RNAcentral describes it as "partial 16S ribosomal RNA". It matches the Rfam family "Bacterial small subunit ribosomal RNA", at positions 338 to 795 of the family's 1533-position model. The record is from RNAcentral.
CCUACGGGGGGCAGCAGUGAGGAAUAUUGGUCAAUGGCCGGAAGGCUGAACCAGCCAUGCCGCGUGAAGGUCAGUGCCCUUUGGGCGUUAAACUUCUUUUGUGCGGGAGCAAUAAUGGUCACGUGUGGCCAGACGAGAGUUCCGUACGAAUAAGCAUCGGCUAACUCCGUGCCAGCAGCCGCGGUAAUACGGGGGAUGCAAGCGUUAUCCGGAAUUAUUGGGUUUAAAGGGUGCGUUGGCUGUGAGGUAAGUCAGCGGUGAAAUGCCCCCGCUCAACGGGGUGAAUUGCCAUUGAUACUGCCUUGCUGGAGUGCGGAUGCGGUGGGAGGAAUUUGUGGUGUAGCGGUGAAAUGCAUAGAUAUCACACAGAACACCGAUUGCGAAGGCAGCUCACGAAUCCGCGACUGACGCUGAUGCACGAAAGCGUGGGUAUCAAACAGGAUUAGAUACCCGAGUAGUC